AACGAACGCUGGCGGCAUGCCUAACACAUGCAAGUCGAACGAGACCUUCGGGUCUAGUGGCGCACGGGUGCGUAACGCGUGGGAACCUGCCCUUAGGCUCGGAAUAACUCCCCGAAAGGGGUGCUAAUACCGGAUAAUGUCCUCGGACCAAAGAUUUAUCGCCUUUGGAUGGGCCCGCGUUGGAUUAGCUAGUUGGUAGGGUAAAAGCCUACCAAGGCGACGAUCCAUAGCUGGUCUGAGAGGAUGAUCAGCCACACUGGGACUGAGACACGGCCCAGACUCCUACGGGAAGCAGCAGUAGGGAAUAUUGGACAAUGGGCGAAAGCCUGAUCCAGCAAUGCCGCGUGAGUGAUGAAGGCCUUAGGGUUGUAAAGCUCUUUUACCCGGGAUGAUAAUGACAGUACCGGGAGAAUAAGCUCCGGCUAACUCCGUG
Molecule: ribosomal RNA, 433 nt
Filed under: uncultured bacterium
Lineage: Bacteria
Description: partial 16S ribosomal RNA
Rfam family: Bacterial small subunit ribosomal RNA
Source: RNAcentral